RNAcentral lists this ribosomal RNA (460 nucleotides) under uncultured bacterium. RNAcentral describes it as "SSU rRNA". It matches the Rfam family "Bacterial small subunit ribosomal RNA", at positions 26 to 521 of the family's 1533-position model. The record is from RNAcentral.
AGAGCGAACGCUGGCGGCAUGCUUAACACAUGCAAGUCGCACGGUCGGCAACGGCAGUGGCGGACGGGUGAGUAACGCGUAGGAAUUUAUCUAUUGGUGGGGGACAACCGUGGGAAACUACGGCUAAUACCGCAUGAAGCCUGAGGGCCAAAGGUUUGAUCGCGAGAUUUGACCGCCGACUGAGGAGCCUGCGUCUGAUUAGCUAGUUGGUGGGGUAAAGGCCUACCAAGGCUUCGAUCAGUAGCUGGUCUGAGAGGAUGAUCAGCCACAUUGGGACUGAGACACGGCCCAAACUCCUACGGGAGGCAGCAGUGGGGAAUAUUGGACAAUGGGCGCAAGCCUGAUCCAGCAAUGCCGCGUGUGUGAAGAAGGUCUUCGGAUUGUAAAGCACUUUUGGCAGGGACGAUGAUGACGGUACCUGCAGAAUAAGCCCGGCUAACUUCGUGCCAGCAGCCGCGGU